Molecule: ribosomal RNA, 494 nt
Filed under: uncultured bacterium
Lineage: Bacteria
Description: partial 16S ribosomal RNA
Rfam family: Bacterial small subunit ribosomal RNA
Source: RNAcentral
AUGAACGCUGGCGGCGUGCCUAAUACAUGCAAGUCGAGCGAACGGACGAGAAGCUUGCUUUUCUGAUGUUAGCGGCGGACGGGUGAGUAACACGUGGAUAACCUACCUAUAAGACUGGGAUAACUUCGGGAAACCGGAGCUAAUACCGGAUAAUAUUUUGAACCGCAUGGUUCAAAAGUGAAAGACGGUCUUGCUGUCACUUAUAGAUGGAUCCGCGCUGCAUUAGCUAGUUGGUAAGGUAACGGCUUACCAAGGCAACGAUGCAUAGCCGACCUGAGGGUGAUCGGCCACACUGGAACUGAGACACGGUCCAGACUCCUACGGGAGGCAGCAGUAGGGAAUCUUCCGCAAUGGGCGAAAGCCUGACGGAGCAACGCCGCGUGAGUGAUGAAGGUCUUCGGAUCGUAAAACUCUGUUAUUAGGGAAGAACAUAUGUGUAAGUAACUGUGCACAUCUUGACGGUACCUAAUCAGAAAGCCACGGCUAACUACGUG